Molecule: ribosomal RNA, 223 nt
Filed under: uncultured bacterium
Lineage: Bacteria
Description: partial 16S ribosomal RNA
Rfam family: Bacterial small subunit ribosomal RNA
Source: RNAcentral
UGGGUAACCUACCCAUCAGGGGGGGAUAACACUUGGAAACAGGUGCUAAUACCGCAUAACAGUUUAUGCCGCAUGGCAUAAGAGUGAAAGGCGCUUUCGGGUGUCGCUGAUGGAUGGACCCGCGGUGCAUUAGCUAGUUGGUAAGGUAACGGCUCACCAAGGCCACGAUGCAUAGCCGACCUGAGAGGGUGAUCGGCCACACUGGGACUGAGACACGGCCCAG